RNAcentral lists this ribosomal RNA (492 nucleotides) under uncultured bacterium. Its description in RNAcentral is "partial 16S ribosomal RNA". It matches the Rfam family "Bacterial small subunit ribosomal RNA", at positions 29 to 507 of the family's 1533-position model. The record is from RNAcentral.
AGUGAACGCUGGCGGUAGGCCUAACACAUGCAAGUCGAACGGCAGCACAGUAAGAGCUUGCUCUUACGGGUGGCGAGUGGCGGACGGGUGAGGAAUACAUCGGAAUCUACUUUUUCGUGGGGGAUAACGUAGGGAAACUUACGCUAAUACCGCAUACGACCUACGGGUGAAAGCAGGGGAUCUUCGGACCAUGCGCGAUUGAAUGAGCCGAUGUCGGAUUAGCUAGUUGGCGGGGUAAAGGCCCACCAAGGCGACGAUCCGUAGCUGGUCUGAGAGGAUGAUCAGCCACACUGGAACUGAGACACGGUCCAGACUCCUACGGGAGGCGGCAGUGGGGAAUAUUGGACAAUGGGCGCAAGCCUGAUCCAGCCAUACCGCGUGGGUGAAGAAGGCCUUCGGGUUGUAAAGCCCUUUUGUUGGGAAAGAAAAGCAGCAGGUUAAUACCCCGCUGUUCUGACGGUACCCAAAGAAUAAGCACCGGCUAACUUCGUG